GCAAACUUGGUCAUUUAGAGGAAGUAAAAGUCGUAACAAGGUUUCCGUAGGUGAACCUGCGGAAGGAUCAUUACAAUACGUCUUUACAACGUAUAAACCUCAAAAGUUGAAUUGUUUUGUAAUUGCGUCCGAUAGGUUUUUGAGAUUUUUCUCUUAACCUAGUUCGCGUAUUUUUCUCAAUUAUAUUUUUAACCCAUUUCACCCAAUGAAUAAACAUUGAACUGAAAAAAGAGUUUUUCGAUUGCGAAAGCGAUUGGAAAAUUAUUGUGAUUACGAAAUGUAAGAACAACUCUUAACAACGGAUAUCUUGGCUCUCGUACCGAUGAAGAACGCAGC
RNAcentral lists this unclassified non-coding RNA (336 nucleotides) under uncultured fungus. RNAcentral describes it as "partial contains small subunit ribosomal RNA, internal transcribed spacer 1, and 5.8S ribosomal RNA". The stretch from base 1 to 73 matches the Rfam family "Eukaryotic small subunit ribosomal RNA", at positions 1759 to 1831 of the family's 1831-position model. The record is from RNAcentral. Lineage: Eukaryota; Fungi.